GAAGGUUUUGGGAAAAAUACUAAUGAUGGUAUAUUUAGACUGAUCUGGCAGUGAUAAUAAUAUAACUAUUAUCUGUCUUAUCUGUACUGUAUUGUGCUUUUUUCCAGAAAUUUUGACUUGUUUCUCAAGAGUGCUCUUUAAAAUCAUCUUUCCCAUCCCUGGUCCUAAAACUAUCACUUCCUCAGAUAUAUUUGGCUCACACACCCACCCAUGUCUCUAACACACACACAUUUCCCAGUCCAUUCAUUAUUAUUCACUUUCCUUUAAAUGGUGGUGAUGAUGAAAAGCUUCGAGGAAGUGGGGUGAGUCAAUCUUUCAGAAGAGAGUUGAUUGAUUCUUUGUUUUCUUGAUAGGAGUCUGCAUAUACAUAAGUCUAUUCUAACAUUUCUCUGAACUCUUACAGACCAUUUCUGGGACAUCUUUGGCCUUCCUUGAAACUGCAGCUACAGCAGCCGUUAAUAAAUUUCUCCUGACAUCGUGAAAAUACAGACUGGACUUCAGAGCAAAGGCAUAGUCAGAAUCAGACUUUCCAGUCUUCAGCUCUGACUGCGUUUGGUCAUGAAUCUUUAAGUUGGGGUUAAAAAAAAACAAUAAUAGACAUAAUAAUGAACCUUCCUUUCUCUCCACCUGAAAAGCCUUCAAAUGCAGAAACAUACAGAGGUAUGGGGCUGGAUUUAAAAAUGGGCACUGUUCAGAUUUGUUGGAUCUGCACUGAAAGCAAAAGAGGGGAACCAAAUCGUCUGUCAUACAUUUCCCAGAAGCCAUUGUCUGUC
This is a non-coding RNA of Xyrichtys novacula (pearly razorfish), 773 nucleotides long. The record is from the annotation of a GenBank genome assembly. NCBI's taxonomy places the organism in Eukaryota, Metazoa, Chordata, Actinopteri, Labriformes, Labridae.